This 251-nucleotide ribosomal RNA is filed under the name uncultured bacterium. Its description in RNAcentral is "partial 16S ribosomal RNA". It matches the Rfam family "Bacterial small subunit ribosomal RNA", at positions 526 to 776 of the family's 1533-position model. The record is from RNAcentral.
CAGAGGUCCCAAGCGUUGUUCGGAUUCACUGGGCGUAAAGGGUGCGCAGGUGGGCUGGUAAGUUCGAUGUGAAAGCCCCGGGCUUAACCCGGGAAUGGCAUUGGAUACUACUGGUCUGGAGGAUCGGAGGGGGGACUGGAAUUCUUGGUGUAGCAGUGAAAUGCGUAGAUAUCAAGAGGAACACCAGUGGCGAAGGCGGGUUGCUGGGCUGAUACUGACGCUGAGGCGCGAAAGCCAGGGGAGCGAACGGG